GUACUAAAGGCAUACUAAAAAGUACAAAGCGUACUAGGUAGGCACUAAUCUAUUCCUUUAUUGAGAUAACUUUUUUUACGAAGUAAAUAUAUUAGCUUAUUAUGAUCAUUAUUAUUUGUAGCCUUUGAGGAAAGACAAUUUCGUGUGGCUCGGGAACGCUCUUCAUUUUAGCUUCGAUGCGAAGCUGAGAAGAUAAUGAGACAUAACAAGUGAAAUAGAUAAUACAGAUGAUUUCAUACAACAAACAUUUUAUCUUCAAAAAAGAAAGAAAAAUAAAAAUCAUAAGAAUAAUAACAGUACUCGCUUAUUAUAUUAUCUGUUUUUAUGGAAACCUAGAGUCAGAAAUUCAACUCUUUCAUUAGAUACUGAA
Molecule: long non-coding RNA, 370 nt
Organism: Daktulosphaira vitifoliae (grape phylloxera)
Lineage: Eukaryota; Metazoa; Arthropoda; Insecta; Hemiptera; Phylloxeridae
Exons: 3
Source: RefSeq, a predicted model, not a curated record